GCGAUGUUAAAUUCGCAUGAUAUAUGUCAAGGUCACUUUUCCUGAAAUUCUAAGGAGUGACGUUUUGGUCUUUAUCGAAUUCCGAAACGCACAUUUAACAAUAUGCGCAUUUCUUUUAUUACCACGUGGAUAAUAUUUUGGUUGUUCUGAGGUGUUUUUUUUUUAAAUAUAAGUAUGUGGUUAAGAUUGCAAAGGAGACAACUCUUCAUCAGAAAUUUAAUUAUAUAGAAUUAAACAACGUUCGACCGCUGUAUGGCCUUCGACAAUGAGUAAAA
RNAcentral lists this long non-coding RNA (275 nucleotides) under Mytilus galloprovincialis (Mediterranean mussel). The record is from RNAcentral. Lineage: Eukaryota; Metazoa; Mollusca; Bivalvia; Mytilida; Mytilidae.